RNAcentral lists this transfer RNA (68 nucleotides) under Marmota monax (woodchuck). Its description in RNAcentral is "tRNA.Ala". The stretch from base 3 to 63 matches the Rfam family "tRNA", at positions 6 to 65 of the family's 71-position model. From Rfam's summary of the family: Transfer RNA (tRNA) molecules are approximately 80 nucleotides in length. Their secondary structure includes four short double-helical elements and three loops (D, anti-codon, and T loops). The record is from RNAcentral. Lineage: Eukaryota; Metazoa; Chordata; Mammalia; Rodentia; Sciuridae.
GUUGUAGCUCAGUGGUAGAGCACUUGAUUAGCAUGUGUGAGGCCCUGAGUUCAAACCUCAGCACGACA